Molecule: ribosomal RNA, 492 nt
Filed under: uncultured bacterium
Lineage: Bacteria
Description: partial 16S ribosomal RNA
Rfam family: Bacterial small subunit ribosomal RNA
Source: RNAcentral
AGUGAACGCUGGCGGUAGGCCUAACACAUGCAAGUCGAACGGCAGCACAGUAAGAGCUUGCUCUUACGGGUGGCGAGUGGCGGACGGGUGAGGAAUACAUCGGAAUCUACUUUUUCGUGGGGGAUAACGUAGGGAAACUUACGCUAAUACCGCAUACGACCUACGGGUGAAAGCAGGGGAUCUUCGGACCUUGCGCGAUUGAAUGAGCCGAUGUCGGAUUAGCUAGUUGGCGGGGUAAAGGCCCACCAAGGCGACGAUCCGUAGCUGGUCUGAGAGGAUGAUCGCCCACACUGGAACGUGGCCACGGUCCAUACUCCUACGGUAGGCAGCAGUGGGGAAUAUUGGACAAUGGGCGCAAGCCUGAUCCAGCCAUACCGCGUGGGUGAAGAAGGCGUUCGGGUUGUAAAGCCCUUUUGUUGGGAAAGAAAAGCAGCAGGUUAAUACCCCGCUGUUCUGACGGUACCCAAAGAAUAAGCACCGGCUAACUUCGUG